Molecule: ribosomal RNA, 871 nt
Filed under: uncultured archaeon
Lineage: Archaea
Description: bacterial SSU rRNA
Rfam family: Archaeal small subunit ribosomal RNA
Source: RNAcentral
CUGGUUGAUCCUGCCAGAGGUCACUGCUAUCGGGGUUCGAUUAAGCCAUGCGAGUUGAGAGGGUUAAGACCCUCGGCGGACUGCUCAGUAACACGUGGAUAACCUGCCCUAAGGUGGAGGAUAACCCCGGGAAACUGGGGAUAAUACUCCAUAGGUUAAAGGUACUGGAAUGUUCUUUAACCGAAAGUUCUGGCGCCUUAGGAUGGAUCUGCGGCCGAUUAGGUUGUUGUUGGGGUAGUGGCCCAACAAGCCUGUAAUCGGUACGGGUUGUGGGAGCAAGAGCCCGGAGAUGGAAUCUGAGACACGAUUCCAGGCCCUACGGGGCGCAGCAGGCGCGAAAACUUUACAAUGCAGGAAACUGUGAUAAGGGAACCCCGAGUGCCCGUAUAUGCGGGCUGUCCGGAUGUUUAAAACGCAUCCGAAGAAAGGGCCGGGCAAGACCGGUGCCAGCCGCCGCGGUAAUACCGGCGGCUCGAGUGGUGGUCACUUUUAUUGGGCUUAACGCGUUCGUAGCUUGAAUAAUAAGUCUCUUGGGAAAUCUGCAGGCUUAACCUGCAGGCGUUUAAGAGAAACUGUUGUUCUAGGAACCGGAAGAGGUGAGAGGUACUCCGGGGGUAGGAGUGAAAUCCUGUAAUCCCCGGGGGACCACCGAUGGCGAAGGCAUCUCACCAGGACGGCUUCGACAGUGAGGAACGAAAGCUGGGGGAGCGAACCGGAUUAGAUACCCGGGUAGUCCCAGCCGUAAACGAUGUGCGUUAGGUGUGCCGGUGACCACGAGUCACUGGGGUGCCGAAGGGAAACCGUGAAACGUACCGCCUGGGAAGUACGGUCGCAAGGCUGAAACUUAAAGGAAUUGGCGGGGGAGCACCAC